AGACCCGAAACCCGGUGAUCUAGCCAUGGGCAGGUUGAAGGUUGGGUAACACUAACUGGAGGACCGAACCGACUAAUGUUGAAAAAUUAGCGGAUGACCUGUGGCUGGGGGUGAAAGGCCAAUCAAACCGGGAGAUAGCUGGUUCUCCCCGAAAGCUAUUUAGGUAGCGCCUCGUGAAUUCAUCUCCGGGGGUAGAGCACUGUUUCGGCUAGGGGGCCAUCCCGGCUUACCAACCCGAUGCAAACUGCGAAUACCGGAGAAUGUUAUCACGGGAGACACACGGCGGGUGCUAACGUCCGUCGUGAAGAGGGAAACAACCCAGACCGCCAGCUAAGGUCCCAAAGUCAUGGUUAAGUGGGAAACGAUGUGGGAAGGCCCAGACAGCCAGGAUGUUGGCUUAGAAGCAGCCAUCAUUUAAAGAAAGCGUAAUAGCUCACUGGUCGAGUCGGCCUGCGCGGAAGAUGUAACGGGGCUAAACCAUGCACCGAAGCUGCGGCAGCGACACUAUGUGUUGUUGGGUAGGGGAGCGUUCUGUAAGCCGUUGAAGGUGGCCUGUGAGGGUUGCUGGAGGUAUCAGAAGUGCGAAUGCUGACAUAAGUAACGAUAAAGCGGGUGAAAAGCCCGCUCGCCGGAAGACCAAGGGUUCCUGUCCAACGUUAAUCGGGGCAGGGUGAGUCGACCCCUAAGGCGAGGCCGAAAGGCGUAGUCGAUGGGAAACGGGUUAAUAUUCCCGUACUUGGUGUUACUGCGAAGGGGGGACGGAGAAGGCUAUGUUGGCCGGGCGACGGUUGUCCCGGUUUAAGCGUGUAGGUGUGUGUUCCAGGUAAAUCCGGUUCACUUUAACACUGAGGCGUGACGACGAGGCACUACGGUGCUGAAGCAACAAAUGCCCUGCUUCCAGGAAAAGCCUCUAAGCAUCAGGUAACAUCAAAUCGUACCCCAAACCGACACAGGUGGUCAGGUAGAGAAUACCAAGGCGCUUGAGAGAACUCGGGUGAAGGAACUAGGCAAAAUGGUGCCGUAACUUCGGGAGAAGGCACGCUGACAUGUAGGUGAAGUGAUUUACUCAUGGAGCUGAAGUCAGUCGAAGAUACCAGCUGGCUGCAACUGUUUAUUAAAAACACAGCACUGUGCAAACACGAAAGUGGACGUAUACGGUGUGACGCCUGCCCGGUGCCGGAAGGUUAAUUGAUGGGGUCAGCGCAAGCGAAGCUCCUGAUCGAAGCCCCGGUAAACGGCGGCCGUAACUAUAACGGUCCUAAGGUAGCGAAAUUCCUUGUCGGGUAAGUUCCGACCUGCACGAAUGGCGUAAUGAUGGCCAGGCUGUCUCCACCCGAGACUCAGUGAAAUUGAACUCGCUGUGAAGAUGCAGUGUACCCGCGGCAAGACGGAAAGACCCCGUGAACCUUUACUAUAGCUUGACACUGAACAUUGAGCCUUGAUGUGUAGGAUAGGUGGGAGGCUUUGAAGUGUGGACGCCAGUCUGCAUGGAGCCGGCCUUGAAAUACCACCCUUUAAUGUUUGAUGUUCUAACGUGGACCCGUGAUCCGGGUUGCGGACAGUGUCUGGUGGGUAGUUUGACUGGGGCGGUCUCCUCCUAAAGAGUAACGGAGGAGCACGAAGGUUGGCUAAUCCUGGUCGGACAUCAGGAGGUUAGUGCAAUGGCAUAAGCCAGCUUGACUGCGAGCGUGACGGCGCGAGCAGGUGCGAAAGCAGGUCAUAGUGAUCCGGUGGUUCUGAAUGGAAGGGCCAUCGCUCAACGGAUAAAAGGUACUCCGGGGAUAACAGGCUGAUACCGCCCAAGAGUUCAUAUCGACGGCGGUGUUUGGCACCUCGAUGUCGGCUCAUCACAUCCUGGGGCUGAAGUAGGUCCCAAGGGUAUGGCUGUUCGCCAUUUAAAGUGGUACGCGAGCUGGGUUUAGAACGUCGUGAGACAGUUCGGUCCCUAUCUGCCGUGGGCGCUGGAGAACUGAGGGGGGCUGCUCCUAGUACGAGAGGACCGGAGUGGACGCAUCACUGGUGUUCGGGUUGUCAUGCCAAUGGCACUGCCCGGUAGCUAAAUGCGGAAGAGAUAAGUGCUGAAAGCAUCUAAGCACGAAACUUGCCCCGAGAUGAGUUCUCCCUGAGACUUAGAGUCUCCUGAAGGAACGUUGAAGACGACGACGUUGAUAGGCCGGGUGUGUAAGCGCAGCGAUGCGUUGAGCUAACCGGUACUAAUGAACCGUGAGGCUUAACCUUACAACGCCGAAG
RNAcentral lists this ribosomal RNA (2250 nucleotides) under Salmonella enterica subsp. enterica serovar Tanger. RNAcentral describes it as "partial 23S ribosomal RNA". It matches the Rfam family "Bacterial large subunit ribosomal RNA", at positions 711 to 2925 of the family's 2925-position model. The record is from RNAcentral. Lineage: Bacteria; Pseudomonadati; Pseudomonadota; Gammaproteobacteria; Enterobacterales; Enterobacteriaceae.